This 622-nucleotide long non-coding RNA is filed under the name Numida meleagris (helmeted guineafowl). RNAcentral describes it as "lncRNA (ENSNMEG00000009726.1)". Lineage: Eukaryota; Metazoa; Chordata; Aves; Galliformes; Numididae. The record is from RNAcentral.
CUUCAACAAGAUGGAUAACAAUCUCAUCUUCUUGGACACUCAUAGGAGACUCCUAAGAGAUAAUUCUGACUCUGCCAGAAUCCCAGUUUGUACAUAGCUGUUUCCUCACGUGCAAAGAAGGAAGCUGAUUAUAUUUCUUGCAUACAACAUUUUCCCACUACUGAAGAAAGAUGGAAGAAAUUACUUUUCCUUGCCGUAUGCUUGGCUUAAAAUAUUGCUCAAAAGAGGAUCACAGACCCCGUGCUGAGGUCACGUAUGGUAAGAUGAUGGUAACUGAGACUGACUGAACCUUUAUGUAUCACUACAUCUGUACUCAUCAAGUCAGCAUAGCAUGUGUUAAUCAACUUUAAGACCAUUUUAAAGUGAACUGAAGUAAAACUGAAAGACAGGGAUGAGCCAAGACUUAAUGCAGGUGUACAGAAGGCAAAUGCAGAGCCAUGGGCAUCUGUUUAAAACACCACUGCUGGAGGAAGAAUGCAUUGAAAUGAAUGACUGAUACAGGUACAGAUUUCUGAGAUGCAAAAUAGGGAAAAGUUUUUUAAGAAAGCUGAAAUCUCUUCAGUAACGGUAUAAAGGACUGAUUGUGCAAUCAGAUGGCACACACUGUAGCUGUGGAGCUGUU